AUGGUGAAGCAUGGGAACGCGGCAGCCGAGUAUUUGCAGAGUGCCCCAAUCCGACGGCUGCGACACCCGCUAGAUGAAAGUCCAUUCUGGGCCAUCUUUUGCUCAACACUUGGUGAUACCUUGGCUUUUGUGGCCAGUCUACCAAUAAUUGCACUUCUUGUCAUUAUCUUACCGGUAUUUUCUCUUACCAGAUGGAUCCUUCUCCUUGCCUACUGGAACACACGCCGCAGGUGCUUCAGAGUAAGCGGUGGGGUGGAAUCAAUGCGAGGUCAGGACGCCAAGUGGUUAGGUAGCGCAUGGCAGCGUUCGGUGCUCCAUGCAGUGCUCGUUUUUGACUCUCGGCUUGAUCUAAUGAGGCUAAAGCAAGCCCUCCUUCAGCGUGUGAUCCCAUUCUGUCCUCGCCUAAUCUCGAAGCCAUUUGCGCUGCCACUCACGGCCGGUGCUGGCCAUUGUUGGCUCCCGGACUCCUCGUUUGAUAUACACCGACAUGUCUUCCACGCACCAGAGCUUUCUCAGGAUCAUGGUGCUACAAAGUUACAGGACUACGUAGGGAAGCUUUUAAGCAAAAGUCUGUCUGCUGAUAAACCGCCAUGGGAACUUCAUGUCAUGCCUCGAUCAGUAGAAACUACUGUGUCCUCUCCAUGUGAAGCUCCGGACACUAUCGUCAUUCUGCGAAUUCAUCAAAGCCUUGCCGAUGGCACAUCAUUAGUCAAAUUACUUUGCCAAAAUCUCUCUGAUACCAAAGUAAACUGGACCACUCCAAAGAAAUUUGGACGCAUCCAAUUCUGCUACUUGUACAUCCGUGCGUGCCUCAUCUGCCCACUUGCUCUGUGUUGCUGGCUCCUGACUUCACGGAAGGACCGCAACCUAAUAAAUGGGCCACAAAAAUGGACCAAUCACAAUGUUGUAUCUAUGUCUUCAAUGUUAAGUAUGAGCAAAGCAACCCGCAUCAAACAAGUAACACGUUCAUCAAUGAACUGUGUCGUCCUUUCCGCAUUUGCAGGAGCCUUGAGAUUGUUUUUGCAAAGUUGUGGAAUUAGACAUCCACCCGACAUGAAGAUCGUGAUUCCUGUGAACAUGAACCAAGGGGGCAUGUCAGUCCAGCCAAACAUUAACAGUAAAGUUUCUCCUGUCGUUAUGACUCUACCUGUGAGUAUUGAAGGAGCUUUGCCACGCUUGUGGUACACGAGAAGUCGCCUCAAAACACUGCGGUCAUCCAUCGAUCCCUUCGUUCUCUAUGUAGCCACUUCAGCUCUAAUGUCAAUCGCACCUGGCUCUUGUGUCCGAUCGCUUAUUUCUGCUGUCACGGAGAAAACGGCAAGUGUGCAGUUCAGCUGGCUUUCUGGGCCAACGUCACCUGUAGCAAUCAGCGGUAGCGAACUAAAAGCAAUAUAUUCUUUAGUCCCUGCUCAAAGCGGAAUUGGAAUAGCAGUUUCUGUGAUCACCUACUCCGAACAAAUUUAUCUUACUGUUGCUACUGAUGCUGCUCUUGGACAAACUGGAGAAAUCCUCUUGCAUCAUAUCAACCUACAGAUUAACAAGUUGUAUGAGCUACUUCAUAAUAGGAGGAUUCCUGGCGAAGGUCAUCGAUCAGAUGCAGUUAGUUUGUCAACAUUCCCCAAUAUUCGAACCGCCCCUGUCGAUAGUAUUGUGGAACGAAUGUACAAAGUGCAGCAAGAAAUCCAAAGGAUUUGUGAAAAUAAACGACCACCUCUUAUCGAAAGAGAAAGAUGUCAGUGUUUAAAGGCAGAGUUCACAGUUCUACUCAAAGAACUUCGAAGGAGGAAAAGCCAAAACAACCAACAAAAACACAAAAAAACUCAAUUACCCCAGGAUCUGGACAGUGAUGACUACGCUCAAGGUCUACGGCAUCGUCGAUCUAUGUCCUGCCCUUUCAUGGUGCGACCCAAUCUCUCCACCCUCAACAUUUUGGCCAAUGCUCAUGGACUCCAUCACAGUGAGAACAGCCCAAACAGCAGUCCGCUCAAGAAUCUCAGCCCUGCCAGUCCACUGAAAAAUCCCUGUGCGUCAAGUCCAGUCCCGAGAGGAUCAAUAACUUCACCUCUUAAAAACAUUCCAGUGAAUGCCCCCCGUGCUAAUCAUUUCCCCUCACAAGUGUCUUCUCCUGUGGAUCAUCCACACAACCGCACGUUAACUAGCGUUAAGAGCACUAUUUUCUCAUCGACGCGAGUCUAUGACGUAGACGAAUCUCAAAACCACGCAAGAAAUGUGCCCAGUUUUAGUUGCUCUUGCGCUGAAGAGCACAGGACCAGUUUUACGAAUAGUCACGAUAACUUUCUCUAUUCUCCGCAAGAUUUGGAGCCGGUCAAGUCUUCCCAACUUUCCAGUAGUUAUGGUCGGCCCCUGUGUAGAAACAACCAAACCAUUAUCAAGAUGCCUGAGUAUGUGAUGCCAGAGUUAUCGACCAUUAUUGCCUACGACAAUGCUCUUCCAAUUAAUAGUACAUCCGUAGAUAUAUAG
This 2481-nucleotide long non-coding RNA is filed under the name Bemisia tabaci. RNAcentral describes it as "lncRNA ENSSSA1UGG012395". Lineage: Eukaryota; Metazoa; Arthropoda; Insecta; Hemiptera; Aleyrodidae. The record is from RNAcentral.